RNAcentral lists this transfer RNA (86 nucleotides) under Felis catus (domestic cat). It matches the Rfam family "tRNA". Rfam says of the family: Transfer RNA (tRNA) molecules are approximately 80 nucleotides in length. Their secondary structure includes four short double-helical elements and three loops (D, anti-codon, and T loops). The record is from Rfam by way of RNAcentral. Lineage: Eukaryota; Metazoa; Chordata; Mammalia; Carnivora; Felidae.
GCCUGGGUGGCUCAGUUGGUUGAGCGUCUGACUUUGGUUCAGGUCGUGAUCUCACAGUUCAUGGGGUUCGAGCCCCACAUCAGGCU